GAUGAACGCUAGCGAUAGGCUUAACACAUGCAAGUCGAGGGGCAGCAUGGUCUUAGCUUGCUAAGACUGAUGGCGACCGGCGCACGGGUGCGUAACGCGUAUGCAACUUGCCUCACAGAGGGGGAUAACCCGUCGAAAGACGGACUAAUACCGCGUACACUUGGAGGGAGGCAUCUUCCACCAAGGAAAUGAAUUUCGCUGUGAGAUAGGCAUGCGUCCCAUUAGCUAGUUGGUGAGGUAACGGCUCACCAAGGCAACGAUGGGUAGGGGAACUGAGAGGUUGAACCCCCACACUGGUACUGAGACACGGACCAGACUCCUACGGGAGGCAGCAGUGAGGAAUAUUGGUCAAUGGGCGAGAGCCUGAACCAGCCAAGUCGCGUGAAGGAUGACUGUCUUAUGGAUUGUAAACUUCUUUUGUAGGGGAAUAAAGAACGGUACGUGUACCG
Molecule: ribosomal RNA, 449 nt
Filed under: Porphyromonas sp. oral taxon 284
Lineage: Bacteria; Pseudomonadati; Bacteroidota; Bacteroidia; Bacteroidales; Porphyromonadaceae
Description: bacterial SSU rRNA
Rfam family: Bacterial small subunit ribosomal RNA
Source: RNAcentral